AUUGAACGCUGGCGGCAUGCCUUACACAUGCAAGUCGAACGGUAACGGGCCUUCGGGUGCCGACGAGUGGCGAACGGGUGAGUAAUACAUCGGAACGUGCCCGAUCGUGGGGGAUAACGAGGCGAAAGCUUUGCUAAUACCGCAUACGAUCUACGGAUGAAAGCAGGGGACCGCAAGGCCUUGCGCGGACGGAGCGGCCGAUGGCAGAUUAGGUAGUUGGUGGGAUAAAAGCUUACCAAGCCGACGAUCUGUAGCUGGUCUGAGAGGAUGAUCAGCCACACUGGGACUGAGACACGGCCCAGACUCCUACGGGAGGCAGCAGUGGGGAAUUUUGGACAAUGGGCGCAAGCCUGAUCCAGCCAUGCCGCGUGCAGGAUGAAGGCCUUCGGGUUGUAAACUGCUUUUGUACGGAACGAAAAGCCUUCUUUUAAUACAGGAGGGUCAUGACGGUACCGUAAGAAUGAGCACCGGCUAACUACGUG
RNAcentral lists this ribosomal RNA (482 nucleotides) under uncultured bacterium. RNAcentral describes it as "partial 16S ribosomal RNA". It matches the Rfam family "Bacterial small subunit ribosomal RNA", at positions 30 to 507 of the family's 1533-position model. The record is from RNAcentral.